UCGGAUGUGUAGAGUGCUGAGUUAGG
Molecule: non-coding RNA, 26 nt
Filed under: Homo sapiens (human)
Lineage: Eukaryota; Metazoa; Chordata; Mammalia; Primates; Hominidae
Source: RNAcentral